UUUUUUUUAAAUCUCUGAUGUGUUGUCAUUUCCUUCUGAAUUCUGUGAAACUUAUUUUGCCUUUAUUACAGUCAUUCUAGUUUGGUUUUAACUAUGUGUUCUUUUGGGAUGAGAAUCAUGUCUUCCUUGGUUCUACAUCCUUAGAUGGAAAGACUUGCACACAGCCUCGCUUAUUCAUUUAUUUAUUCAUUCCACAAAUAUAAGUGAACAUCAACUAUAUGGAUUCUGUUCUAGUACUGGGGGUAUAAAAUGAAUAAGGCAGAUAUAGCUUUUAUUCUCAUAGAGCUGAAAGUUUCAAGGGGAAUUUUGACAAGUUAAUAGAAAAUUAAAGCUCAGUGCUUUUUUUUUUUUAAAGCAACGUUUUUCUGGUGAGGAAGAUUGGCCCUGAGCUGAUAUCUGUUGCCAAUCUUCCUCUUUUUUUUUUAAUCUCCCCAAAGCCCCAGUACAUAGUUGUAUGUCCUAGUUGUAAGUCAUUUUAGUUCUUCUAUGUGGGAUGCUGCCACAGUAUGGCUUGAUGAGUGGUGUGUAGGUCUGCACUCAGAAUCCAAACUGGGGAAUCCCGGGCCACUGAAGCAAAGUGCAUGAACUUAACCACUCGGCCACGGAGCCAGCCCCAAACCUCAGAGCUUUGAUGAGGUAUAGAGACCAAGAGAUCACUUGCCCUGAUUCAGGGGAUCAGAGAAGACAACCAUGAGGAAGUGAUAUGCUGAGAAAGAAUGAAGGAAAUGUGCAAAGUCCAGGAAAUGAGAGACGGGUAUAUUUCAGGAGCUGAAGGAAGUUCAGAAGUCCAGACUGGCUCAGAUGAAGAAUGCUUUAAAUUUACAUCAUACUUUCUGUCUAGAAAACUGAAAUCUACGGGGACCAGACAAAAAAAGGGGAAACCCAAGUUCAUAUGCAUGGCUAAACUAGCAAGGAACUCACAUAUUCUGCCUCCCAGAUCAGUUCUCUUUCCACUAAAUAUUUUGUUCUAUUUCUGCGUUUCUUUCAACAUCAAGCCUCUUUUUCCUCAUCCUACUUAUGGAAACCUGUUGAUGCAGAAACAAAUAAAUGCAAAUAUUUAAUGCAGUUUACAUCUCCUUAAGUCAUUCUCAUAUUUCCUACAUUCCAGUUAAACCGUGUUCUGAUUGGUCAUUCAUAAGAGAAUAACUUAAGUCCAAGGGUCACCUGUGAAACUUUGCCACAAGUAUUUUGACAAGAUCGCCUUAUCUACCACCAACUCUUCAGAAAAAUUUGAUGUAUGAGGAUAGCUUUACAUGACAGCAUUGCAAGAAAUAAAUGGAUGGAGAAUUUUUAAAAAAGAAAAGAAAAGUAUGGCUGAUCCCACAUUUACUCCUCUUCUGAAAUAUAGCAUGACUUUGAGGAAGAUGUGUCCAUGUGUUCCAGGUGGUGGCCAGCAGCAAAAGAGUUUUGCCCUUGGUGGAGUUGGGAGAGUUGAGGAGAAGCAGACAGUGCAGUAAAUCAGUGUCCGGGGCUCAAGAGACAAAGUCUUCCUUCUAAAACACUGGCAAAGUG
Molecule: long non-coding RNA, 1512 nt
Filed under: Equus caballus (horse)
Lineage: Eukaryota; Metazoa; Chordata; Mammalia; Perissodactyla; Equidae
Description: lncRNA (ENSECAG00000052500.1)
Source: RNAcentral